This 1403-nucleotide ribosomal RNA is filed under the name uncultured Pseudomonadota bacterium. RNAcentral describes it as "bacterial SSU rRNA". It matches the Rfam family "Bacterial small subunit ribosomal RNA". The record is from RNAcentral. Lineage: Bacteria; Pseudomonadati; Pseudomonadota.
UCAGAACGAACGCUAGCGGCAUGCCUCAAACAUGCAAGUCGUACGAGAACCUUCGGGUAUGAGUAAGUGGCGCACGGGUGCGUAACACGUAGCUACGUACCCUCUCGCUGGGGAUAACUCCGGGAAACCGGGGCUAAUACCGAAUGAUGUCUGCGGACUAAAGCCUUGGCGCGAGAGGAGCGGGCUGCGGCUGAUUAGCUUGAUGGUGGGGUAAAAGCCUACCAUGGCAUCGAUCAGUAGCUGGUCUGAGAGGAUGAUCAGCCACACUGGAACUGAAACACGGUCCAGACUCCCACGGGAGGCAGCAGUUGGGAAUAUUGCACAAUGGGGGAAACCCUGAUGCAGCAAUGCCGCGUGAGGGAAGAAGGCUUUCGGGUCGUAAACCUCUUUCAGUAGGGAAGAAUUUGACGGUACCUACAGAAGAAGCACCGGCUAACUCCGUGCCAGCAGCCGCGGUAAUACGGAGGGUGCAAGCGUUGUUCGGAAUCAUUGGGCGUAAAGCGCGUGCAGGCGGUUUGUUAAGUCUGGUGUGAAAGCCCGGGGCUCAACCCCGGAAGUGCACUGGAUACUGGCAAACUAGAGAGCGAGAGAGGAAAGUGGAAUUCCUGGUGUAGGGGUGAAAUCCGUAGAUAUCAGGAGGAACAUCAGUUGCGAAGGCGGCUUUCUGGCUGUUUCUGACGCUGAGACGCGAAAGCGUGGGUAGCAAACAGGAUUAGAUACCUGGUAGUCCACGCCCUAAACGAUGGAUACUAGUUGUUGGAAUCCUAAGUUUCAGUAACGAAGCUAACGCAUUAAGUAUCCCGCCUGGGGAUUACGGUCGCAAGACUAAAACUCAAAGGAAUUGACGGGGGCCCCACAAGCGGUGGAGCAUGUGGUUUAAUUCGAUGCUACGCGAACAACCUUACCGGACUUGACAUCCGGGCUACUCGGGAAACCAGAGGUUCCCUUCGGGGACCCGGACAGGUGCUGCAUGGCUGUCGUCAGCUCGUGUUGUGAGAUGUUGGGUUAAGUCCCGCAACGAGCGCAACCCUCGUCACUAGUUACCAGCAUUAAUUGGGCACUCUAGUGAGACCGCUGGCUAUAAGCCAGAGGAAGGUGGGGAUGACGUCAAGUCCUCAUGGCCCUUAUGUCCAGGGCUACACACGUGCUACAAUGGAAAGUACAAAUCGCAGCGAGCUCGCAAGAGUCAGCUAAUCGCAAAAAACUUUUCACAGUUCGGAUUGGAGUCUGCAAUUCGACUCCAUGAAGUUGGAAUCGCUAGUAAUCGCGGAUCAGAUGCCGCGGUGAAUACGUUCCCGGGCCUUGUACACACCGCCCGUCACACCAUGGGAGCUGAUUGUACCGGAAAACGUUGAGCUAACUUCGGGAGGCAGGCGUUUAUGGUAUGGUUGGUGACUGGGGUG